Molecule: ribosomal RNA, 373 nt
Filed under: Escherichia coli
Lineage: Bacteria; Pseudomonadati; Pseudomonadota; Gammaproteobacteria; Enterobacterales; Enterobacteriaceae
Description: bacterial SSU rRNA
Rfam family: Bacterial small subunit ribosomal RNA
Source: RNAcentral
AAAUUGAAGAGUUUGAUCAUGGCUCAGAUUGAACGCUGGCGGCAGGCCUAACACAUGCAAGUCGAACGGUAACAGGAAACAGCUUGCUGUUUCGCUGACGAGUGGCGGACGGGUGAGUAAUGUCUGGGAAACUGCCCGAUGGAGGGGGAUAACUACUGGAAACGGUAGCUAAUACCGCAUAACGUCGCAAGACCAAAGAGGGGGACCUUAGGGCCUCUUGCCAUCGGAUGUGCCCAGAUGGGAUUAGCUAGUAGGUGGGGUAAUGGCUCACCUAGGCGACGAUCCCUAGCUGGUCUGAGAGGAUGACCAGCCACACUGGAACUGAGACACGGUCCAGACUCCUACGGGAGGCAGCAGUGGGGAAUAUUGCACA